AAAUUUUUUACAUGUGGUCUUCUGUUCUCUUGCAUUGUCUAGUGGCUUUUAUUUUAUUGUAACUGCGUUCAUCUGUGCAAGGCAUCAUCAUUGACUUAGUGUAACUGCCUUCAGCAUCUCUGCAAGUCAUCAUAAUUGGCUUAUUCGUUGGUCUAUUGUUGUCUUUCCGUUGCUUCUUCCUUGAAAUCAGGCGCUGGACUGGAUUUCCAUUAAAGGCAUAAAUAUAUAA
This 229-nucleotide unclassified non-coding RNA is filed under the name Hevea brasiliensis (rubber tree). Lineage: Eukaryota; Viridiplantae; Streptophyta; Magnoliopsida; Malpighiales; Euphorbiaceae. The record is from RNAcentral.